CCUACGGGAGGCAGCAGUGAGGAAUAUUGGUCAAUGGGCGCAAGCCUGAACCAGCCAAGUCGCGUGAGGGAUGAAGGUUCUAUGGAUCGUAAACCUCUUUUAUAAGGGAAUAAAGUGUGGGACGUGUCCUAUUUUGUAUGUACCUUAUGAAUAAGGAUCGGCUAACUCCGUGCCAGCAGCCGCGGUAAUACGGAGGAUCCGAGCGUUAUCCGGAUUUAUUGGGUUUAAAGGGUUGGUUGGCGGGCUUUUAAAUUAGGGGUGAAAGUCUGGGGCUCAACCCUAGACUUGCCGUUGAAACUGGGGUGCUUGAGUGGGUUUGAGGCAGGCGGAAUGCGUGGUGUAGCGGUGAAAUGCAUAGAUAUCACGCAGAACCCCGAUUGCGAAGGCAGCAUGCCAGGGCAUGACUGACGCUGAAGCACGAAAGCGUGGGGAUCAAACAGGAUUAGAUACCCGUGUAGUC
Molecule: ribosomal RNA, 460 nt
Filed under: uncultured bacterium
Lineage: Bacteria
Description: partial 16S ribosomal RNA
Rfam family: Bacterial small subunit ribosomal RNA
Source: RNAcentral